CAUAGGUUAAUGAGGCGAACCGGGGGAACUGAAACAUCUAAGUACCCCGAGGAAAAGAAAUCAACCGAGAUUCCCCCAGUAGCGGCGAGCGAACGGGGAGCAGCCCAGAGCCUGAAUCAGUAUGUGUGUUAGUGGAAGCGUCUGGAAAGGCGCGCGAUACAGGGUGACAGCCCCGUACACAAAAAUGCACAUGCUGUGAGCUCGAUGAGUAGGGCGGGACACGUGGUAUCCUGUCUGAAUAUGGGGGGACCAUCCUCCAAGGCUAAAUACUCCUGACUGACCGAUAGUGAACCAGUACCGUGAGGGAAAGGCGAAAAGAACCCCGGCGAGGGGAGUGAAAAAGAACCUGAAACCGUGUACGUACAAGCAGUGGGAGCACGCUUAGGCGUGUGACUGCGUACCUUUUGUAUAAUGGGUCAGCGACUUAUAUUCUGUAGCAAGGUUAACCGAAUAGGGGAGCCGAAGGGAAACCGAGUCUUAACUGGGCGUUAAGUUGCAGGGUAUAGACCCGAAACCCGGUGAUCUAGCCAUGGGCAGGUUGAAGGUUGGGUAACACUAACUGGAGGACCGAACCGACUAAUGUUGAAAAAUUAGCGGAUGACUUGUGGCUGGGGGUGAAAGGCCAAUCAAACCGGGAGAUAGCUGGUUCUCCCCGAAAGCUAUUUAGGUAGCGCCUCGUGAAUUCAUCUCCGGGGGUAGAGCACUGUUUCGGCAAGGGGGUCAUCCCGACUUACCAACCCGAUGCAAACUGCGAAUACCGGAGAAUGUUAUCACGGGAGACACACGGCGGGUGCUAACGUCCGUCGUGAAGAGGGAAACAACCCAGACCGCCAGCUAAGGUCCCAAAGUCAUGGUUAAGUGGGAAACGAUGUGGGAAGGCCCAGACAGCCAGGAUGUUGGCUUAGAAGCAGCCAUCAUUUAAAGAAAGCGUAAUAGCUCACUGGUCGAGUCGGCCUGCGCGGAAGAUGUAACGGGGCUAAACCAUGCAC
RNAcentral lists this ribosomal RNA (989 nucleotides) under Escherichia coli. RNAcentral describes it as "partial 23S ribosomal RNA". It matches the Rfam family "Bacterial large subunit ribosomal RNA", at positions 165 to 1194 of the family's 2925-position model. Lineage: Bacteria; Pseudomonadati; Pseudomonadota; Gammaproteobacteria; Enterobacterales; Enterobacteriaceae. The record is from RNAcentral.